GGGCGAGUAGCUCAAUGGAGCAACCGGCUCAUAACCGGUUGGUUAUAGGUUCGAUUCCUAUUUCGCCCACCA
RNAcentral lists this transfer RNA (72 nucleotides) under Campylobacter phage F355. Its description in RNAcentral is "tRNA-Met". It matches the Rfam family "tRNA". From Rfam's summary of the family: Transfer RNA (tRNA) molecules are approximately 80 nucleotides in length. Their secondary structure includes four short double-helical elements and three loops (D, anti-codon, and T loops). RNAcentral also lists the same sequence under 1 other name. The record is from RNAcentral. Lineage: Duplodnaviria; Heunggongvirae; Uroviricota; Caudoviricetes; Connertonviridae.